This 509-nucleotide ribosomal RNA is filed under the name Smithsonidrilus westoni. RNAcentral describes it as "partial 16S ribosomal RNA". It matches the Rfam family "Bacterial large subunit ribosomal RNA", at positions 1807 to 2611 of the family's 2925-position model. Lineage: Eukaryota; Metazoa; Annelida; Clitellata; Tubificida; Naididae. The record is from RNAcentral.
UCAAAAACAUUGUCACCUGACCCAUCUAUAAGUGAUAAAUCCUGCCCCAUGAUAGAUUUAAAUGGCCGCGGUACCCUGACCGUGCAAAGGUAGCAUAAUCACUCGCCUAUUAAUUGUAGGCUGGUAUGAAUGGAUAAACGAAGUCAUCACUCUCCCACUUAAGAACCUAAAACCUAAUCUCUAAGUGAAGAAGCUUAGAUUAUACCGAAGGACAAGAAGACCCUGUAGAGCUUUACUUUACACCUGAAUAAAAUUCAGACGAUAGUUCGGUUGGGGCGACCCGGGAAAUAUUUAACUUCCCUUAUAUAUAAGACCUACUAGUCCUAAUUAGAUCCUAAUUUUUAGAUCAUAGAAACUAGCUACCUUAGGGAUAACAGGCUAAUUUUUCUUUAAGAGUCCUUAUUAACAAGAAAGUUUGGCACCUCGAUGUUGGCUUAGGAUCUCUCCAUGAUGCAGCCGUCAUGAAUAGAUGGUUUGUUCAACCAUUAAUAUCCUACGUGAUCUGAGUU